Long non-coding RNA from Ananas comosus (pineapple), 170 nucleotides. RefSeq lists it as uncharacterized. The record is from RefSeq and is a predicted model, not a curated record. The transcript is spliced from 3 exons. Lineage: Eukaryota; Viridiplantae; Streptophyta; Magnoliopsida; Poales; Bromeliaceae.
CCCCUUAGGGCUUUUUUUGUGCUGGAACCAGAGGAGAGGAAGCCUCAAGCUUGAAUUUGGAGCUAAGUGGAGGAUAGAUCUUGGGAUUUAAAGGAUUUAGAGCUUGAUUUGAAGCUUCUAAGAGGGCUUUUGGAGCUAGAUUGAGUGGAUUAGAGGCUUCCAUUAGGUUG